Molecule: non-coding RNA, 73 nt
Organism: Picea glauca (white spruce)
Lineage: Eukaryota; Viridiplantae; Streptophyta; Pinopsida; Pinales; Pinaceae
Source: Rfam
UUUGUUGAAGUCUUGUUGGUUAGAAUACUCGGCUCUCACUCGAGAGACUCAGGUUCAAGUCCUGACACCAUAG